CCAAGGUUCCAUUCCUUGGAAUCCGUGAGGCCAAGAACCCCAGGUCAGAGAACAAAAGGCUUGCUGCCAUCUUGGGAGCAGCCCGCCCCAUCUUGGGAGUGGCCUGCCACCAUCUUGGGAACUCUAAGAACAAAGACCCGCCGGUAACAUUUGGUGGCCCGUACGGCGCUUCUCCAAAGCGAUACAUCCUGGGAAGGACCCUACCCAGUCAUUUUAUCUACCCCAACCAUGGUUAAAGUGGCUGGAGUGGAGUCUUGGAUACAUCACGCUCAAGUCAAACCCUGGAUACUGCCAAAGGAGCCCGAAAAUCCAGGAGACAAUGCUGGGUAUUCCUGUGAACCUCUAGAGGAUCUGCACCUGCUCUUCAAGCGACAACCAUGAGGAAAGUAACUAGAAUCGUGGAUCCCCAUGGCCCUCCUUUGUCACAUUUUUCUUUUUACUGUUCUCUUACCCCCUUUCACUCUCACUUCACUUCCUCCAUGCUGCUGUACUACCAGUAGCUCCUCUUACCAAGAGGUUCUAUGGAGAAUGUGGCUUCCCAGAAAUAUUGAUGUCCCAUCGUAUAGGGGUUUUUCUAAAGGAGACCCCACUUUCACCACCCACAACCAUAUACCCCUGCACUUCAGGCCAUACAUUUCAAUCCCUGUAUCUUUAACCUCCUUGUUAAGUAUGUCUCUUCCAGAAUCGAAGUUGUAAAACUACAAAUGGUUCUUCAAAUGGAGCCCCAGAUGCAGUCCAUGACUAAGAUCUACUGCAGACCCCUGGACCAGCCUGCUAGCCCAUGCUCUGAUGUUAAUGACAUCAAAGGCACCCCUCCUGAGGAAAUCUCAACUGCACGACCCCUACUACGCCCCAAUUCAGCAGGAAGCAGUUAAGAGCGGUCGUUGGCCAACCUCCCCAACAUCACUUGAGUUUUCCUGUUGAGAGUGGGGACUGAGAGGCAGUACUAGCUGGAUUUCCUAGGCUGACUAAGAAUUCCUAAGCCUAGCUGGGGAAGGGGACCGCACCUACCUUUAAACACGGGGCUUGUAACUCACCUCACACCCAACCAAUUAGGUAGUAAAGAGGACUCACUAAAAUACCAAUUAGGCUAAAAGCAGGAGGUAAAGAAAUAGUCAAAUCAUAUAUUGCCUGAGAGCGUGGGGGAGGGACAAUAUUCGGGAUAUAAACCCUAGGCAUUCGAGACGGGAGUGGGCAACCCCCUUUGGGUCCCCUCCCAUUGUAUGGGAGCUCUGUUUUCACUCUACUAAAUCUUGCAGCUGCACACUCUUCUGGUCCGUGUUUGUUACGGCUCAAGCUGAGCUUUCGCUUGCCGUCCACCACUGCCAUUUGCAGACCCGCCACUGACUUCCACCCCUCCGGAUCCAGCAGGGUGUCCGCUGUGCUCCUGAUCCAGCGAGGCGCCCUUUGCCGCUCUGGAUCCAGCUAGAGGCUUGUCAUUGUUCCCACAUGGCUAAGUGCUCGGGUUCGUCCUAAUUGAGCUGAACACUAGUCACUGGGUUCCACAGUUCUCUUCCAUGACCCACGGCUUCUAAUAGAGCUAUAGCACUCACCACAGGGCCCAAGGUUCCAUUCCUUGGAAUCCGUGAGGCCAAGAACCCCAGGUCAGAGAACAAAAGUCUUGCCGCCAUCUUGGGAGCAGCCCACCCCAUCUUGGGAGUGGCCUGCCACCAUCUUGGGAGCUCUAAGAACAAAGACCUGCUGGUAACAGCUGGAUAAGCCCAACUGCUUUGUAGCUGCCUGUGUGUGGCAAACAACUAACACUCCUUAGGCCUCAAUUUUUUAAUUUAUAAAAUGAAAGCAGUAAAUAUCACAUCAUAUAAGUUGUUGAGUAUUUAUGAGAAUUAAAAGGAAUAAUCGCCAUAAAAGGCCUGAUACUGGCAAUAAUAUAUUUGACAAAUAUGAGUUUCUCUUUUUCCCUUUAUUCUACUUUACGGCAACUCCUACCUCCUAUUCUCUUUCUUUUGCUACUAAGCAGACAUCUGGGUUUGUUUGUUUGUUUCAUCAGGGAGAGGUUCUAAACGUUGUAUCCUUUAACCCUCAAAGCAUCAUCUAUUCUCUUAGAGGGUAAAGGGCAGAGAUGUUAUCCCUGUUGGUUUCUAACCUUGGAGAAGGUCAGAAAUGUCACGAGCUCUCUAUAGAUCCUCUUAUCAGCUUCUCUUACACAAUCCUUUGGUUCUGUGUGUGGUGAAAACUGGAUUGGGGGAAAAUCAGAUCAGUAGAAACCAAAUGUUGAAGCAACUGGUGAAUAGAGAAAUACAGAUUGCGUAUCCCUACAAUGGAAUGUUAUUCAGCAAUAGAAAGAAAUGAAGUAUGCACCCAUGCAUGGAAUGAUGCACGGAUGUUUACUACAGCAUAGAAGGACCUUGAAAACACAGGGCUAAGUGAGAGGAGCCGGACAGGAAGGAUCAUGUAUUGUAUGGUCUGCUCAUGUAUGAUCUGCUCACAUAUUGUGUGAUCUGCUUACAUGAAAUGCCCAAGGUAGGCAAAUCCACAGUCAGGAAAUAGAUUGGUGGUGGCCAGGGGCAGGGACUUUUGGGGGAAAAUAGGGAGUGACUGUUAACAGGGACCUGCUUUCUUCUGGGGUAAUGAAAAUGGUCAAACAUUGAUUGUAGUGAGGGUUGUGCGGCUCUGUGAAUAUGCAAAAAACCCAUUGAAUUGGACACUUUAAAUGGGUGCAAAUUAUAUUCCAAUAAAUUAUUUGUAGAAACUAAAAAAAAAAAAAAAGAAAAUUGGGGUACUGAGGUUUUUUCUCCUUCUUUCUUUGUAACUAAAAAUCAGCACCAGUAUUGGUUAGAAAAAAAAUACAAUGUUCAUAGUUGCAUUUUCUUACCUUUUAUGACAUUUACAAAGCCCUCUCUCACAUAUGUUUUAAAUUCAUUGUCACUCUCUUAACAUUUACAAAGAGAUAUGGCAAAUGUUAUCAUCAUGUGGAUUUUGGAAGCAAAGAUGCUAAUUGGCUGUGACACAGACAAUAAAUGGCAGAGCCAGGACCAAAACUCUUGCUAGUUACUCUCCACCCACAAUGCCUGGCUGGUACAUUCCUCAGGCUGGUUUUUGUUGGUUGGUUGGUUGGUGUUCUGAUUUUUGUUUUUUCCCCAGGACUACCAUAAGUCAUUACUCUCUACUGAUUUUCAGCAGUUUUAAAAGAGUACAAACGACUAAAAGAGGCAAAACAGCCGAAAAUUAUUGUCUGCAGGAAAAAUUAGAAUCUCCAAGCACUGGAUCUGCUUUCAAAUAGCAGACCAGAAUCACUGUUACCAAAUGAAACAUUUAAAACUUAAGAGGAAAGUGGAAUAUAGAGGAAGUAAAUAGGAGAAGAGCUACAAAGAAAAGCAAAAACUGAAAAAAAGGUUUUCAAAUUAUGCUUCAAGGAAUCUCAUUGGCAAUACAGGAAGGCCUAUAAUCCCAGCACUUUGGGAGGGUGAGGUGGGC
RNAcentral lists this long non-coding RNA (3435 nucleotides) under Homo sapiens (human). Its description in RNAcentral is "HSALNT0361880". Lineage: Eukaryota; Metazoa; Chordata; Mammalia; Primates; Hominidae. The record is from RNAcentral.